UACGGGGGGAGCAAGCGUUGUUCGGAUUUACUGGGCGUAAAGGGCGCGUAGGCGGUCGUGACAAGUCACUUGUGAAAUCUCCGGGCUUAACUCGGAACGGUCAAGUGAUACUGUCGGACUAGAGUACAGAAGGGGCAACUGGAAUUCUCGGUGUAGCGGUGAAAUGCGUAGAUAUCGAGAGGAACACCUGCGGCGAAGGCGGGUUGCUGGGCUGAUACGGACGCUGAGGCGCGAAAGCCAGGGGAGCGAACGGG
RNAcentral lists this ribosomal RNA (254 nucleotides) under uncultured bacterium. RNAcentral describes it as "partial 16S ribosomal RNA". It matches the Rfam family "Bacterial small subunit ribosomal RNA", at positions 524 to 776 of the family's 1533-position model. The record is from RNAcentral.